ACUCAAUGAAUUGACGGGGACCCGCACAAGCGGUGGAACAUGUGGUUUAAUUCGAGGCAACGCGAAGAACCUUACCAGGGUUCGACAUGCUCUUUAACGGCCCUCCAAAAGGGGCCUUCAGUUCGGCUGGAAGAGACACAGGUGCUGCAUGGCUGUCGUCAGCUCGUGUCGUGAGAUGUUGGGUUAAGUCCCGCAACGAGCGCAACCCUCAUCCUCUGUUGCUAACAGGUAAUGCUGAGAACUCUGAGGAAACUGCCGGUGAUAAGCCGGAGGAAGGUGGGGAUGACGUCAAGUCCUCAUGGCCCUUACACCCUGGGCUACACACGUGUUACAAUGGCAGUGACAAUGGGCAGCUAACCCGCGAGGGUAUGCGAAUCCCAAAAAGCUGCCUCAGUUUGGAUUGUACUCUGCAACUCGAGUACAUGAAAUUGGAAUCGCUAGUAAUCGUAGAUCAGCAUGCUACGGUGAAUACGUUCCCGGGUCUUGCACACACCGCCCGU
RNAcentral lists this ribosomal RNA (500 nucleotides) under uncultured bacterium. Its description in RNAcentral is "partial 16S ribosomal RNA". It matches the Rfam family "Bacterial small subunit ribosomal RNA", at positions 899 to 1397 of the family's 1533-position model. The record is from RNAcentral.